GGCGGCGCCUGCUGCUUGUGCCGUGCAGCCGGUGUCACCUCAGGACAGCGCCUCGCGUCUGUGUACAGAGCGUGCUGCGGGCGCCUAGGGUAGUCCGAGGUCACUCCUCUCCGCGCCCCGCAGUCGCGCACGCCCCCACGCGCGGGGUGGGCGGCGGCCGGGGGUCGCCGAGUGGAAAGGCCACGCCCCCCCACGCCCGGGCUCGGCACGCUGCCCCUGGGUCGCGAACGCGCCUCCGCUCGACCCGCUUGGAGGACGUCGCUGGUGGCCCAGGAGUGAAGCCCCGGCGGCUGCCUCCUGAGAAAAGAUAGCCGUGUUUAAAGAGACUGAACGGGAUCUUUGCUUUGCCGGGCGUAUUUUGUGAUAAAAUACCACAAAAUGUUGAGACAAAAAUGAGUGGAAUAUGGAGACCGAGCCGCACAGACACGCAAUUGUAAGGAAACAUCUCGAACACCGAGUGCCAGGAAUAUCAACUGUCCGGGCCACGCAAGAGCCUGCUUUUUACCUGCCUCCAGCCCCCUGUCGUGCUGGUUUAAUCGCUGAAACAAAUGAAGUAGCAGGCCCUGGCAUAGCGCUUUGGGCCUUCGCCUUAUUAACAACUUUGUCAAGUCUUGCAUCGCGAUUCUGCCUUGUUAAUUUCCUUGUUUUUCGCUGUGGUUUUGGAGAAGCAAUGUUUUCCGUGAUCUCUCAGGCUAGCCUCGGAAUAAAACGUGGCAGAAGCGCUCCCGCGAACACAUACGCAUAUAUUUUAUUCUACCUAUUCCCUAGAGUCUGCUAACUUCAAAAGUCUAGAUACUCACACAGCUGUUUACUUGCAGCAGUAUUUGAAGAGAUAACCUUGGUGUCUAGAAAGGUCUCAGAAACUGGAGGUAAGAGACCUGGAUUCAAAUCGCGCCUUGGCCACUUCCCAAAAGGCAACCGAGAGCCUCUCUGAGCUUGUCAGUUUCCGCAUCUGCAAAUUAGUGGUGAUCAAACCUGUGGGGAUGAUUAUGUGAUAAAUAACAGUAACCUAGUUUAAAACUAGGCACGUUAUUGGAAGCUUUCAGUAAACGAAAUAAAAAGCCUUUUCGAGAGGGUA
RNAcentral lists this long non-coding RNA (1078 nucleotides) under Pan troglodytes (chimpanzee). Its description in RNAcentral is "lincRNA". Lineage: Eukaryota; Metazoa; Chordata; Mammalia; Primates; Hominidae. The record is from RNAcentral.